Myotis lucifugus (little brown bat) is the source of this 791-nucleotide long non-coding RNA. RefSeq lists it as uncharacterized. NCBI's taxonomy places the organism in Eukaryota, Metazoa, Chordata, Mammalia, Chiroptera, Vespertilionidae. The transcript is spliced from 2 exons. The record is from RefSeq and is a predicted model, not a curated record.
CCUUGCGUGCCGUGUCCAGCGAGGGCGCGGGCAGGUAGCGGGUGAGAUGAAUCAGGCAGCAGCGCCCAGAAUACGCUGGGAGCCCUGAGGGGCCCGCGGGAGGCUUCCACAGCAACCAAGCAGACGGAAGGCUCUGGGAUGUUAGGAGGAAAAGUAGAAACGAAAAGUGAGAGCCACUAACUUCCUGACUUGGAAGGCCAGGCUGGAGCCCAAGACGGCUUUGCAGACCCCGAGUGUGUCCAGUGUGUGAGCCAAGUGCUGUCUCUGGGGAUGAAGCCAACAGCUCGGCUCUGCCCAUGUCAGCCGCCUGGCGCGGGAGCCAGCUGAGCAGGACCGGCGCUGCCCCAAGGCGGAGGCCAGGCGUGUCUCUGGUCAGGCCGGCUGAGCAGCCACGCCCAAUGUCACCAGGUGUCCCCGUGGCCGGGCACCUCCCUGGCUGGGCUAUGCGUGCUGGCCCGCUCUGCGAAUGCGCUUUGGGCCCUUAUUUCCUCUUUGAAUCUGUUUCUGAAAAACAUAUUCUUUCAGGUGAAAAAACAGUUUAUGUUUUUUAGGAUGAUGAUUUGAAAUAAAGCAAAUAUUGGUGACCUGCUCUGCAGAUUGUUACAGAGAGCUGUGAAAGAGCCACAGACAAUCUACUCUAACCACAGUUCUGUUUAUCGUUCUGUAAAAGCAGCCACCUUUGGGAUUUGUUUCUGUGAGUGGUAUCAAUUCCCCAAAGAGAUCAGCAUAAAAAGGCGAUUAAAAGAAUUUUGUGUGAUUUUUGCUUUUAAAGUAAAAUCUUGGUAAACCAA